This 274-nucleotide ribosomal RNA is filed under the name uncultured bacterium. RNAcentral's name for it is "partial 16S ribosomal RNA". It matches the Rfam family "Bacterial small subunit ribosomal RNA", at positions 523 to 796 of the family's 1533-position model. The record is from RNAcentral.
CUACGGAGGGUGCAAGCGUUAUUCGGAAUCACUGGGCGUAAAGGACGCGUAGGCGGGUUGGCAAGUCAGAUGUGAAAUCCUACAGCUUAACUGUAGAACUGCAUUUGAAACUGCUAACCUAGAGUAUGGGAGGGGGAGAUGGAAUUAGUGGUGUAGGGGUAAAAUCCGUAGAUAUCACUAGGAAUACCGAAAGCGAAGGCGAUCUCCUGGAACAUAACUGACGCUAAGGCGUGAAAGCGUGGGGAACAAACAGGAUUAGAAACCCUAGUAGUCC